This 510-nucleotide ribosomal RNA is filed under the name Candida albicans. RNAcentral's name for it is "eukaryotic LSU rRNA". The stretch from base 143 to 296 matches the Rfam family "5.8S ribosomal RNA". The record is from RNAcentral. Lineage: Eukaryota; Fungi; Ascomycota; Pichiomycetes; Serinales; Debaryomycetaceae.
GGAUUCUGACUGCUUAUUGCACCACAUGUGUUUUUCUUUGAAACAAACUUGCUUUGGCGGUGGGCCCAGCCUGCCGCCAGAGGUCUAAACUUACAACCAAUUUUUUAUCAACUUGUCACACCAGAUUAUUACUAAUAGUCAAAACUUUCAACAACGGAUCUCUUGGUUCUCGCAUCGAUGAAGAACGCAGCGAAAUGCGAUACGUAAUAUGAAUUGCAGAUAUUCGUGAAUCAUCGAAUCUUUGAACGCACAUUGCGCCCUCUGGUAUUCCGGAGGGCAUGCCUGUUUGAGCGUCGUUUCUCCCUCAAACCGCUGGGUUUGGUGUUGAGCAAUACGACUUGGGUUUGCUUGAAAGACGGUAGUGGUAAGGCGGGAUCGCUUUGACAAUGGCUUAGGUCUAACCAAAAACAUUGCUUGCGGCGGCAACGUCUACCACGUAUAUCUUCAAACUUUGACCUCAAAUCAGGUAGGACUACCCGCUGAACUUAAGCAUAUCAAAAGGCGGAGGAA